RNAcentral lists this ribosomal RNA (520 nucleotides) under uncultured Entrophospora. Its description in RNAcentral is "SSU rRNA". It matches the Rfam family "Eukaryotic small subunit ribosomal RNA", at positions 569 to 1086 of the family's 1831-position model. Lineage: Eukaryota; Fungi; Glomeromycota; Glomeromycetes; Entrophosporales; Entrophosporaceae. The record is from RNAcentral.
AGCAGCCGCGGUAAUUCCAGCUCCAAUAGCGUAUAUUAAAGUUGUUGCAGUUAAAAGCUCGUAGUUGAAUUUCGGGAUUGGCGCAUCCGUCGUGCCUUACGGGGUAUGAACUGGUGCAGUCAAUUUCUCACCUUCUGGAGAACCGCGAUGUCCUUAAUUGGGUGCCGCGGGGAACCAGGACCUUUACUUUGAAAAAUUAGAGUGUUUAAAGCAGGCAUUUUUGCUUGAAUACAUUAGCAUGGAAUAAUAAAAUAGGACGGCAUGGUUCUAUUUUGUUGGUUUCUAGGACCACCGUAAUGAUUAAUAGGGAUAGUUGGGGGCAUUAGUAUUCAAUUGUCAGAGGUGAAAUUCUUGGAUUUAUUGAAGACUAACUACUGCGAAAGCAUUUGCCAAGGAUGUUUUCAUUAAUCAAGAACGAAAGUUAGGGAUCGAAGACGAUCAGAUACCGUCGUAGUCUUAACCAUAAACUAUGCCGACUAGGAAUCAGACGAUGUUAAUUUUUAAUGUACUCGUUUGGCUA